This is a long non-coding RNA of Neoarius graeffei (lesser salmon catfish), 551 nucleotides long. RefSeq lists it as uncharacterized. The transcript has 3 exons. Lineage: Eukaryota; Metazoa; Chordata; Actinopteri; Siluriformes; Ariidae. The record is from RefSeq and is a predicted model, not a curated record.
CACAUUACGGUGCUCUAAGUAUAUUUAAUUUUUUAGAAUUCCAGUAGCUGCUGUAGGUAUUUGCCUGAUCUGUGUAUUUUUCUCUCCCUUUUUGGACAGGAGUGUAGCAAUCCAGGCGGGUCCUCGGCUGACCUAGAGGUGGUGGAGCCUUCUCACUUUUUCCUUUGCUGUGUCCACAAUGGUGGGAGCGCUUCGGGACAAUGUUCAGCCCUAGCUGUGAGGAAAGUCAAGUCACAUUACGGAGUGUAGCAAUCCAGGCGGGUCCUCGGCUGACCUAGAGGUGGUGGAGCCUUCUCACUUUUUCCUUUGCUGUGUCCACAACGGGUGAUUUUUGUUUUGUUCUACAGUUGUGUGUUGUGAUUUUGUUUGUUGUGUUUCUUUUCUGGGCCUCUGCCCUUUUCUCUUGUCUGUCAGCCUGGCAUGCUUGGUAAGCCCUAGCUCUGUCCUAGUUCCAUUUAUUAAAGUAAGCAGUAGGUACUAUGGCUAAAUGGCUAUGUAUGUGCAGUGUCCUGGGUUAUCUGGAGUUUGUUUAAGUGAGGUGUGAUUGGUUG